RNAcentral lists this ribosomal RNA (253 nucleotides) under uncultured bacterium. RNAcentral describes it as "partial 16S ribosomal RNA". It matches the Rfam family "Bacterial small subunit ribosomal RNA", at positions 524 to 776 of the family's 1533-position model. The record is from RNAcentral.
UACCGAGGUCUCAAGCGUUGUUCGGAUUCAUUGGGCGUAAAGGGUGUGUAGGUGGCGCGCUAAGUCGGGUGUGAAAUUUCGGAGCUUAACUCCGAAACUGCAUUCGAUACUGGCGUGCUUGAGGACUGGAGAGGAGACUGGAAUUUACGGUGUAGCGGUGAAAUGCGUAGAUAUCGUAAGGAAGACCAGUGGCGAAGGCGGGUCUCUGGACAGUUCCUGACGCUGAGGCACGAAGGUCAGGGGAGCAAACGGG